Molecule: ribosomal RNA, 508 nt
Filed under: uncultured bacterium
Lineage: Bacteria
Description: partial 16S ribosomal RNA
Rfam family: Bacterial small subunit ribosomal RNA
Source: RNAcentral
GAUGAACGCUAGCUACAGGCUUAACACAUGCAAGUCGAGGGGAAACGAUAUUGGAAGCUUGCUUCCGAUAGGCGUCGACCGGCGCACGGGUGAGUAACGCGUAUCCAACCUGCCCAUCACUUGGGGAUAACCUUGCGAAAGUAAGACUAAUACCCAAUGAUAUCUCAAGAAGACAUCUGAAUGAGAUUAAAGAUUUAUCGGUGAUGGAUGGGGAUGCGUCUGAUUAGCUUGUUGGCGGGGUAACGGCCCACCAAGGCGACGAUCAGUAGGGGUUCUGAGAGGAAGGUCCCCCACAUUGGAACUGAGACACGGUCCAAACUCCUACGGGAGGCAGCAGUGAGGAAUAUUGGUCAAUGGGCGAGAGCCUGAACCAGCCAAGUAGCGUGCAGGAUGACGGCCCUAUGGGUUGUAAACUGCUUUUAUAAGGGAAUAAAGUGAGCCUCGUGAGGCUUUUUGCAUGUACCUUGUGAAUAAGGACCGGCUAAUUCCGUGCCAGCCGCCGCAGUAA